RNAcentral lists this long non-coding RNA (573 nucleotides) under Olea europaea (common olive). RNAcentral's name for it is "long non-coding RNA (OEUR_LNC008669)". Lineage: Eukaryota; Viridiplantae; Streptophyta; Magnoliopsida; Lamiales; Oleaceae. The record is from RNAcentral.
UGCAAUUAAUGAUUAAGGAAUAUUAGAUUCUACAUGAUAUGAUAUGAUGUCGUUGAGUUCGUUCUACCAUUUGCAUUUGCAAAUCAAGAAAGCAUUUGCUAGUAAACACAAGAAACUGACCACAAGAGUUGUAUUUGCUCGUGACUACUUUCUUUUCUUUGUUUAUAGAAUUAUUGAGUUGGACACUAUAAAACUUACAUUCAAGUUACUUAUUUUAUUAAACAUGAGCUGAAAGUUACUUUUUAUUAUAACAUAAUUCUCCGAUGCAUAUCAGCUUAGCUGCACUUAUGCGGUUGGUUUUGCUUCAUCUCUGGUGUCCAGCUCCCUACCUUGACCUCACUACAUUCUCACUUCAAGCUAUGCCUUUAGCCUGCUUCAAUCCAAGUACAAAGGCUAGCAAGCUAGUUGCCACAAAUGAACUUCUGGGUCAAAAAGGAACCAGAUGAACGCCCCAUCGGUUCCGGCCAAAUGACUCAAUCUCUCUCUUGGACGGUUCCCGAAUCCUCAGGUCUAAACUUAACUUUCAAAUUUUAAGCACAAUCAGACAUCUAUAUAUCCUCCUUUGUCCAUAUA